AACGAACGCUGGCGGCAUGCCUAACACAUGCAAGUCGAACGAGACCUUCGGGUCUGGUGGCGCACGGGUGCGUAACGCGGGGGAACCUGCCCUUAGGUUCGGAAUAACUCCCCGGAAGGGGUGCUAAUACCGGAUAAUGUCUUCGGACCAAAGAUUUAUCGCCUUUGGAUGGGCCCGCGUUGGAUUAGCUAGUUGGUAGGGUAAAAGCCUACCAAGGCGACGAUCCAUAGCUGGUCUGAGAGGCUGAUCAGCCACACUGGGACUGAGACACGGCCCAGACUCCUACGGGAGGCAGCAGUGGGGAAUAUUGGACAAUGGGCGAAAGCCUGAUCCAGCAAGGCCGCGUGAGUGAUGAAGGCCUGAGGGUUGUAAAGCUCUUUUACCCGGGAUGAUAAUGACAGUACCGGGAGAAUAAGCUCCGGCAAACUCCGUG
Molecule: ribosomal RNA, 433 nt
Filed under: uncultured bacterium
Lineage: Bacteria
Description: partial 16S ribosomal RNA
Rfam family: Bacterial small subunit ribosomal RNA
Source: RNAcentral